Molecule: long non-coding RNA, 241 nt
Filed under: Gossypium raimondii (Peruvian cotton)
Lineage: Eukaryota; Viridiplantae; Streptophyta; Magnoliopsida; Malvales; Malvaceae
Description: long non-coding RNA (GRAI_LNC000793)
Source: RNAcentral
UUUUUUUUAAAAAAAUUCAUUUCUCCACUCCUUCAAAAAAAACAAAAAUUCCUUCAAAAAAAGCUCUCAACCUCCGACACCGGCCUCCGGUUGGUCGGUCAUCGGCCCUUCAUCGGCCACCGCGCUGGUCGCCGAUCUCUGACACCGGCACCACCGUCUACGGUGGCCGAAAAAACGAAAAAACCCCCUUUUAGCCUUCUCGACCUCCUUUUCCCAAAUCUGGGCUUAAAUCCCACAAAAC